Clupea harengus (Atlantic herring) is the source of this 4604-nucleotide long non-coding RNA. NCBI's taxonomy places the organism in Eukaryota, Metazoa, Chordata, Actinopteri, Clupeiformes, Clupeidae. The record is from Ensembl.
CACAAAGAACCUGAAUGCUGUUGCAUGUGCUCAUCCUGUGUGCGUUAUCUGGACAAUGUAGGUCAAGAUGCAGAGAGUGGUGUUCUUCCCAGGGAAGGUAAGUGUUGUGUUCCGCAGGGGACCACUCGGAUUUCUCAGACAGGACCCGUCUGUAGAAGCUAGACGGAUUAAGGAUGACCCCACUCGGCAGGACAAGUCUGCUCCUAUGAGGGAGGACCUCGUGCGGCAGAAUGCUCUGGCUGUGGUCCGUCAGAGAGGGGGGGAUGCCUCAGACAGGACGGAGGUGCUAGGAGACUACAUCCUGCAGUUUGGAAAGUAUAAAGGGAAGGCUUUCAGGUGGCUUUUGGAGAAUGAUAUAGGCUACACAUCUUAUCUUAUCAAGAAUCUCCGUAAGGAGGAGGCUGCAGGUAUCUGUAGGGCCGAGGGGCAUAGCAAGGAUAGCCUACUGUCGUUUGUGAAUUUUGCUCUCAGUUUUUCAGAGAUCCAGUCUCUUCUCGCCUAUGAGGCCAGUGGAGUGGGAGUUGUGGCAGCCUCAUCAGAAGAUGACCAGCUGGUUGGCUUUGGGACCCGGGCUAAGAGCACCUGGAAGGAGACAUGGGACAGCAGAUCUGAUGGCUACGCAGCCUUCAUCAUGGGGAAGAGCUGCGUCCCAGGGACACGUAUGUACAAGCUGCAGCAGUACCUACGGAAGAGGCAGCAAUCCGCCUCUGCUUCCACACCUGCUGAGCCUGCCUCAAGAGCCCAAGCUAAACCCCUGAUGAUGGAUGAGGAUGAAGAACUGGAGAGGGCGAUGUUGAGCAUCUCACCCUCUAAGCUACAACUGCAGAGCUUUGCUGUACCAGUAGCAGCAGCAACAGCAACAGCAGCAGCUGCCAUACCAGGAGUGUCACCAGGAGCAAAGACAGGACUAUGAAUUGAUCCCAGCUAUGAUGAACUGAUCUAUGAUGAACUGAUCUAUGAUGAACUGAUCUAUGAUGAACUGAUCCAUCUACAAUGAGGUUCCAUCUGCGGCGCUGUCCAAACCCGCCCCUGACACAACUGUUCAACUGCAGGCAUCACUAGUUUAUGCUCCAGCCUCAUCAAGUGUGAAGAGGAGGACACCUGUUGCCCUUCCACCAGAGCUGGCAUUCCUAGUGAAGGAGACACCUAAUCCGAUAAAACCAAAGAGGCCUGAGUCAACUCCAGUUCCCUCAGCUGAGGCACCCGUUCCUGUCCCUCUGCCGAGGCAUGACCAAGACACAAUAAAAUGGAGCUGUUCUCAACACCAGAAGACGUGGAUGAAGACAGAGCUUAAAGAUCUCGGGCUGUGGCCUGGGUCUCGCGCAGUGCGUAACCCAGGGAACACAAUUUCACUGUGGCGUCUUCCUGCACAGCCUCAGCUCAUCAAUACGGUGGCUGAGCUCCCAUCCCCCAAUUUCUUCCAGCUCCAUCCAUUUUUUAUCUGGAAGCCUGAGAGUGACAUCAUGGCCAGGGUGAGAAACAAUUACAUCCUGCCAUGUCUUCAUAGCUGUCCUCAUCCGCAGGUGGUCUCAGCUGGUGUGGGCAGGCCUCGGGUGAUUGUUGGCACCAGUGGUCAAUAUUACAUCUUGUCCUCACGACUCUGCUGCAAGGCUUGUCGCAGGAACUGGUUUGCUGACAGUCCGCAGUGGCUGGAGAAGCUGCCCAAGCUCUUUUUCAACCUUAUGCCCGCAUUUCUGACUUACAAAAAGGCCAUCUGCAAGUCUGUGAUGGAUGAUCUGAGGCGCACUGGCAAGUCACCAAAUGAUAUGGCAAACCAGGUGAAUGAGGUCAUGCAUCUCAAGUAUGAGCGAGCUCACCUGGCCUACCUACAAACCACAGAAAGUGUCAUGAAUGCGGAGGCUGGCGUGUAUGGACAGAGGACCAUUGGGCAGUUCCUGAGGAAGGAAAACCAGUCUCGUGCUUUUGGCCAAUAUGAAGAUCCCGAUGGCUGGUGUGGAGUCUCCGUGUCAAGUCACUACCUGACUGACUGCCUUCUCAAUGAGUACAGACGUCAAGAGCCAUUCAUGUCCAAACUCCUCCAGGGCACCUUUGGGCAGGUCUUCAGGUCUGACCACACCAGGAAGGUUGCACGUAAAGUGACGUUGGCAUCUGGAGUCAUGUCCAGUUAUGCCGUCAUGAACGAGAACUGGAUGAUUGUUUCCUGGGUGAUGGUUCAGUCUGAGACUGAGAGGUCCUUGGAGCCGAUGUACCAGGGAAUGGCCAAGAGGUACAGCGACGCUGGAGUGGAAAAGGCAGGCUACCACUGGAUGGACAGGGAUUGCUGUGCUGCGUUCAAGAUCCCGGACAGCAUCCCUGCUGAGCAUUUGCGCUGGGAUGCCUGGAAGACUACUCCUUCUGUUGUUGCUGGAGCCACCUCUGGACUGCUGGCAAACACUUGUGCCUCACGGUCACAUUACAGCACCAACAUAGUUGUGAAACUGGACUUGUUCCACUGCUUGAGGCGUUUUUCACGGGAGUGCACCUCUGAGCAUCACCCUUUGUACAGCACUUUCUGCCAGCUCCUCUCCGCUGCCUUCUCUGUGGUGGAUCAGGAGGACUUAAAGAGGCUCAAGGACGCUUAUGAGUUCUGUGGCAUCCAUCCAGCCAAUCCCACCAAACAACAUACACGAGAGCACUGUAGGACCAAGAUACCACAACCCACAGAGCUGCUGGACAGAGUGGAGAAAGUCCUGAAACAUUUUCAUCUAGCUACGGACCCCAACAACGUCCCACUCUUUAAGCCAUCUAUGCUGAAGUUGUGGCGCAUACAGAGAGUGCACAUUCUCCGUGGUUGCCUCAGUGACCCUGAACUCGCAGAGGGUAUAAUGUACCGGUAUGGUGGCACUCUUCAGCUGAACCAUGUUCCUGGUGAAGGCGCCAAAGUUCCAAUAUGGAUCCCUGUCAGAGGUACAUCACAGCAGGAGGGAUACCAUUUCCACCAGGCCCAGUGGGUCACAGGGACUCAUGUCUCCACUGAAUUGUUCCAGGCCCAGGGCAUGACCGGGGUGGCACGGUGGAACUAUCAACGGCUGGUGGACCUUAAGCAGCCAGGUGUCAUCCUCCCUGCUGUGUUUGAUCCAGCUUUAUUAGUGGAGUUGAACUCUGCCUCUAAGACAGUGACUGGGCAAGACAAGUACCUUGCACUCCACCUCUCUGACAGAGACACCGGAGAGAGGUUUGGUCUAGAGUACCAAGAACCAGGCUGCCGUCCAGUCCCUCUGGAUUGGGACAAACAUAGAACCCAAAAGAGAGGUGAAUUUGCUGCUGUUGUGCCUCCAUCCAGUGUGCAGGCACCCGGUCCUGCCCAAGCCCUAGAAGCAACACCCCCCUCCAGCUGGACACCGCCACCUGGCACACCAUCCCCUGGACCAGCACCCUCUUCCAGCUGGACACCGCCGCCUGGCACACCAUCCCCUGGACCAGCACCCUCCUCCAGCUGGACACCGCCGCCUGGCACACCAUCCCCUGGACCAGCACCAUCCGUUGGCCAUCCGCUCUCUGCACUUCCAAAGCAGGAGAUGUUGACAGACGACCUCCAGGAACCUCCCGCAGCAAUGGAACUCUCAUAUGCCCUGCCCCAGCGGUCCUCGCCAAGGAGUGCCCGCACUGGACCCAUUAAGUCGGGUGGACGGGUUUUUGUGUUAGACCACACACGCUGGACGCCACCAAUGAAAAGUGCUGUUGACUGCUUGCUGCAGAAAUACCAUGGGGAGAAGGACAUGCUGCAGCGUGUGGAUCACGAUUAUGCAGACAUGGUCCAUCGGUCUGCCAGUGAUCCCAACAGUUUACUGCACCCCACAACCAGGCUACACAUAUCCCGCUAUGUGAAGCACCUGGCAAAACUCAUAAACACCAAAUCAUCUUUGAACACGAGCCCGGAAAAACUUCUGCUGACACAACAGCUGUGGCACUCUUUAACAGAGGGGAGUGAGACGGUUAGUGUUCCUGUGGUCACUAUGGGGCCGGCUAUUUACAAUCCACCUCUACCUGCAUCUGCCCUGUCCACACCUCUGUCACAAGAAUUGAUAGACAAAAUUGUGGAGGGCAUCAUGAAGCAGCAGCAGCAGCAGCAGCAGCAGCAGCAACAGCAGCAGCAACCGCAGAAGAAAAGGCAGACAAAGACCUGUCGUGCCUGUGGACAGCCCAAGUCUCAAUAUGAGACUGAUGGAUCCUCCAUCCACUUUUUUCACCAGCAAGGGCCUGUGCGCUAUUUUUAUUGUUCUAGAAGGGUGCAUCAGAUUUAUGCUGCUGAGGGACUCUCAGACCCCACAAUGCCCUUUGAAGACUUUUCCCAGACAGAGUUCUACCAGAGGGAGCUGGAGGCCACCAGGAAACGGGUGGAGGAUAUGAAAGAUAAAAAGAGGAAAAGACCAGAAUCACAACAUAAAGGCCACCUCUGCAGAUUCUGCCACUUGGAGCUGAAACAGGGACCAAACAGCCCACACAUCCAUACGGGCUUCCCUGGAGUGGCAGGGAAAUAUAUUUACUGCCCAUCGAAAGUGUACUCUCUAUACCGAAAUAAGGGCAUGACCAAGGAGAUGACCUGGACGGAGUUUCAGGAGUCUCCUUUCUAUGAGGCUGAGAGACAAAGAUGGGUGGAAGGA